RNAcentral lists this long non-coding RNA (1582 nucleotides) under Homo sapiens (human). RNAcentral describes it as "non-protein coding lnc-ANXA11-1:1". The record is from RNAcentral. Lineage: Eukaryota; Metazoa; Chordata; Mammalia; Primates; Hominidae.
AGAGACAAGUCCUGGAAUUGGCAUUCCCAAGAACCAUUUGGUGCUUUACUGUCCUGUGGUUGAGCUGGUAUCUAAGGUGUAAGACAAAGCCCACUUUACUUUUCCCUCCACUUUUCUCUAGCAGGAAUCUUGCCUUGUAACCACCACAGCUGGGAAUGUGCUGGCUGAAUCUGAACCUGAAACCGACAAGACCGAGUCUCACCCAAGGCCCUCAGCAUAGUACCCAGGAACUACUGCGCGCGGGACACAAGGAUCAAGGAGAGAGCAGAGUGCAACCCCAACCCUGCCUGAUCAGUGGGGACGCCCGUCUUCCCUGCGAGAGUUUUGGGGUGGAACAGGAGUGGCUGCUCAGGGGAAAAUUAAAGGAGCUGAGAAGCUCCAGUCGUGAGAAGGCUAAUGAAGGAGGCAGUUUCUCCGCGCAGGGGUUGUGCUGAGAUGGCAUCUAGGGCCGGCUCUUCCAGAACCUCAUUUGACACUGGGCGGCAGCCACCGGGUGUGGCAGGUGGGGCGGGGCGGGCGGGGAGCAGGGAUGAUGCCGUCCCGCUUCCGUCCCCAGGGAGCGCUGGGGCCCUCCCUGCCAGCCAGGCUACACCUGUGCAGUGGAGCAGCCGUCCCUGUCUCGCCUGCCCAGCGCCAGAUGACAGCCGCCCAGAGGCUGUCCUCUGCCACCUGCACUGCUCACCUCCGAGAAGGUCGGGAGCGGGGCUGAAGGGUCCCGGGGGCAGGUUCCAGGCCAGCUCCUCCAGCAGGCCCAGCAGGCCUUUCACCUCUGUCCCCAGGUGAUCCACGGUCUUCUCUACCAUCUAGAGUGGGAAGUGGGGUAAAGUCGAGGACAGAAGUGGUUCCACGUUCCGCUUCAUCAGCUAGGUCCUAAGAGAGCAGCUGGCGGUCCAGUGCGGUGCAGUGGGAAAGGACUGGGCGCUAAGUGACCUGGGUUUUCCUCACUCAGGCUCUGCCCCUACCUGCCUCAGUUUCCCCAGAUGACAAUAUCCUAGGGGGCUUGCUCUCUAAGGCUCCUUCUUUUUUGGCACUUAGUCACAGAUUUGGAUGAAGCGCCUGUAGAAUACCUUCUCCCUUUUGGACUUUGCAGCCUGGAGCUCACAUUCCUUUUGUUGUUCCGCCCCCUGGUGGUAUCUCUGCCAAAUGACAGGUUUGGGAUUCUGAAAUUUACUGAGUUCUUAAUGGUUUUUCCCUGUGUAUGCCAUGGACCCCAUUGGCAGUGUGGUGAAGCCUACAGACCUCUUCUCAGAAUAAUGCCUUAAAUGCAAAAAAUAAAACAUAUAGAAUUACUAAGGGCACCAAUUGCAUUAAAAUAUUAUUCAAGUAUUAGGCCGGGCGUGGUGGCUCACGCCUGUAAUCCCAGCACUUUGGGAGGCCAAGGGGGGCAGAUCAUCGGAGGUCAGGAGUUCAAGAUCAGCCUAGCCAACGUGGCGAAACCCUGUCUCUACUAAAAAUACAAAAAGAAGCCGGGCAUGGUGGUGCGCGUCUGUAGUCUCAGCUACUCGGGAGGCUGAGGCAAGAGAAUCACUUGAACCGGGAGGUGGAGGUUGCAGUGAGCCGAGAUCACACCAUUGCACUCCAG